This is a long non-coding RNA of Alligator sinensis (Chinese alligator), 1084 nucleotides long. RefSeq lists it as uncharacterized. The transcript has 6 exons. The record is from RefSeq and is a predicted model, not a curated record. Lineage: Eukaryota; Metazoa; Chordata; Crocodylia; Alligatoridae.
UGCCCAGGCGCCCCCGCGGCGCAGGCCCCGCCCCUCCCCGUGGCGGCGGCGGCGGAGGUAAACAAACGGGCGGCGGGCGCGGGGUCAGGGAGUGGGUGCAGCUCAUCAACGUGCAGCGCCUGCUGCAGGCGGCUGAGUACCUGGAGCGCCGGGAGCGAGGUCUACGCACAAUGAACUAGAAAAGAACCGCACUCUGCUUCUGACUGGGCCUUCACAGGGGGCACGAUUCCUGUCCCAGAGAGCUUCGAGUCGUCGGGGAGUGCGGGAGAGAAGGUUUGGCAGGAGAUGCCAUUGGUACGGAGAGAACGAGGGGCUAAAGAUGAAACUGGACUGUUUGUGCCACGGUUCAGUAAGAGACUGUCUCAGCACUGCAGUUGCUGGGACACAGCAGCUGCCCAGGCGUCAUCAUUGCAGUAGGAGGAUGGACCUGAAUGUGGAGCAUGUUCGGAUGCGUUGGAAUGAGAACGUGUGUUCUUUCAGCCGCCGAAAACAUUUCUCGAGGGUACGUGCGGAGACAGUUCGAGCCUCUGCGCCGGCCCUCCCCCUGCCCACUCUUCUUCCUGCUCCCCCAAAAACAACUCUGCUCCAUCGAUGCCAGGAGAAGUAGGAAACCAGAUCAAGAGAACAGCUUGUCCCUGUUGGAUAUUCGAGAUCGUGCCAGGCUUGAGGCAGCCUUGGACAUCCGGCCCAGACGAGGACAGAUCGUGUCCCCGAGCCCCACGUCAUGACCCCCAACGCAACCCCAACACCUGUUAACAAUCCUAGGUGCAUUGGUACAAAACCCAAGUGCUUGGAGAAGCUGCUCGAUUUGACAUGCUCUCAUCAGCUAAUCCAGCGCUGACCCUGCCUGGCGGCUGUUGGAUCUGUGGGCACCUUGGGUACGCUCCUGCAGUUGAAUCGGCCCCCCAGGCUUGAGUCUCUUCUUCUGAGGUGAGGUGUUGCGUUGGGUCCUGUGCUCUCUCUCCUGUGCCUGAAUGGACUUUCCUUUUUCCUGGGGGAAACAAGGCGAGCUCACCUCCGCCUGUGUUUAGAGCGCUUAAAAGUUCUGAUACCACUAGGACCAGACUGCACCCGGCACACGACG